RNAcentral lists this long non-coding RNA (321 nucleotides) under Numida meleagris (helmeted guineafowl). RNAcentral describes it as "lncRNA (ENSNMEG00000001576.1)". The record is from RNAcentral. Lineage: Eukaryota; Metazoa; Chordata; Aves; Galliformes; Numididae.
UCUGGGGCACAUGUGUGGGGCACAUCUAUGGGGCACAUGUGUGGGGCACAUCAUCUAUGGGGCACAUGUGUGGGGCACACGUGUGGGGCACAUGUGUGGGGCACAUCCAUGGGGCACAUCUUCUAUGGGGCACAUGUGUGGGGCACAUCUCUGGGGCACGUGUGUGGGGCACAUGUGUGGGGCACAUCUAUGGGACACAUCUCUGGGGCACAUCAUCUCUGGGGCACAUCAUCUAUGGGGCACAUCUCUGGGGCACAUUGUGUGUGGGGCACAUCUCUGGGGCACAUCUCUGGGGCACAUGUGUGGGGCACAUGUGUGGGG